UACAGAGGGGGCUAGCGUUGUUCGGAAUUACUGGGCGUAAAGGGCGCGUAGGCGGCCUGUUAAGUCGAACGUGAAAUCCCCGGGCUCAACCCGGGAACUGCGUCCGAUACUGGCAGGCUUGAAUCCGGGAGAGGGAUGUGGAAUUCCAGGUGUAGCGGUGAAAUGCGUAGAUAUCUGGAGGAACACCGGUGGCGAAGGCGGGUGUCUGGGCCGAUACUGACGCUGAGGAGCGAAAGCGUGGGGAGCGAACAGG
RNAcentral lists this ribosomal RNA (253 nucleotides) under uncultured bacterium. RNAcentral describes it as "partial 16S ribosomal RNA". It matches the Rfam family "Bacterial small subunit ribosomal RNA", at positions 524 to 776 of the family's 1533-position model. The record is from RNAcentral.